AGGCCUUCGUGUUUCAUGUCUCUUGAGUGUUUGAUGUGCUGCAGUAACCGGGCGGUUUGUACCUGGCCUGGUGAAAGGCAGCGGCCAGCGUUGGUUUGAUGUGUUUAGUGUUGGAUGUGUGGUCGCUGGGGUUUGGUGAAGCACGACACCGAGAUGAAUGCAACUGUUCAACCUUUAACCCUGAAGAAAGUUGAGAUAGCGCUGCAAAUCAGUCGUGUGGUGGAUUUGUGUUUCAAGGCUGAGAUUUGGACGCCCAAACAAGAUAUAAAAUAAGAGAUCUGUAAGAUAUUCAAAAAGUGUAGAUCCCUGAGGGCAGUGUGGGCAGCUGUGAACCGGCUGAAGAUAUGGGCGGAUUUAUGUUCAUAGAAUGAUAUGAAAAGAAGAAGAUCAAUGAGUACAAGCAGAACAACACCUCCUGUCUCUCUGUGUGGAGAGACCAGCAGGCCGCUAUGACCCCACAUGUGUGGAGAGACCAGCAGGCCACUAUGACCCCACAGUGUGUGGAGAGACCAGCAGGCCGC
Long non-coding RNA from Gadus macrocephalus (Pacific cod), 521 nucleotides. RefSeq lists it as uncharacterized. The transcript is spliced from 2 exons. NCBI's taxonomy places the organism in Eukaryota, Metazoa, Chordata, Actinopteri, Gadiformes, Gadidae. The record is from RefSeq and is a predicted model, not a curated record.